AACGAACUCUGGUAUUGAUUGGUGCUUGCAUCAUGAUUUACAUUUGAGUGAGUGGCGAACUGGUGAGUAACACGUGGGAAACCUGCCCAGAAGCGGGGGAUAACACCUGGAAACAGAUGCUAAUACCGCAUAACAACUUGGACCGCAUGGUCCGAGUUUGAAAGAUGGCUUCGGCUAUCACUUUUGGAUGGUCCCGCGGCGUAUUAGCUAGAUGGUGGGGUAACGGCUCACCAUGGCAAUGAUACGUAGCCGACCUGAGAGGGUAAUCGGCCACAUUGGGACUGAGACACGGCCCAAACUCCUACGGGAGGCAGCAGUAGGGAAUCUUCCACAAUGGACGAAAGUCUGAUGGAGCAACGCCGCGUGAGUGAAGAAGGGUUUCGGCUCGUAAAACUCUGUUGUUAAAGAAGAACAUAUCUGAGAGUAACUGUUCAGGUAUUGACGGUAUUUAACCAGAAAGCCACGGCUAACUACGUGCCAGCAGCCGCGGUAAUACGUAGGUGGCAAGCGUUGUCCGGAUUUAUUGGGCGUAAAGCGAGCGCAGGCGGUUUUUUAAGUCUGAUGUGAAAG
RNAcentral lists this ribosomal RNA (570 nucleotides) under Lactiplantibacillus plantarum. RNAcentral's name for it is "bacterial SSU rRNA". It matches the Rfam family "Bacterial small subunit ribosomal RNA", at positions 65 to 600 of the family's 1533-position model. Lineage: Bacteria; Bacillati; Bacillota; Bacilli; Lactobacillales; Lactobacillaceae. The record is from RNAcentral.